Molecule: long non-coding RNA, 564 nt
Organism: Solanum tuberosum (potato)
Lineage: Eukaryota; Viridiplantae; Streptophyta; Magnoliopsida; Solanales; Solanaceae
Exons: 3
Source: RefSeq, a predicted model, not a curated record
UCGAGGAAGCAUCUUCAGAUCAGGAUGAAAUCUUUAUAUUUGCAUUCAAACAUUGUAAAAGAAAUCUAGUAUAGUUUAAUUUUUGAUGCUUCCGAGUUUCAGCAGUCCUGAUUCCUGAUGUUUUCUGGGUGAGCAUGGUUCUCUCCUUUUUCAAGUUAACAACUUAUUUUAUAUUACUUUUGCUGAGAUUGAUUGUGAGUUGCAAGUUUCGCAAUGCAAUUUUUGUAUUAUGAAUCCUUGAUGGACUAUGGUGAAAAUUUACUUUUCUUUGUAGAAAAAACAUCAAAGAAUUAUACUACUAUACAAAUCAGGUUUGUUAAUAUUGAUACUGCUGAUGUUAAUAAUCACUUGGCUAUUGUGAAAUAUGUUGAGGAUAUUUACAAAUUUUAUAAGCUCACAAAGGUCUGGUGAAUAUCAGAUGUCUCUGUUUCAAUGCUGGGGUGAUUUUACUGUUAUAGUGGAUACGGAUGAACGUUGAUUGUAUUAUUACAUGGAUUCACAACCACACAUCAACGCCAGGGUCAAAGCUAGCAAUUUUUCUGGAAGGUUGAACUACUUGAAAAA